CAAAGUAUAAAAUUUAAUUUACAGUGACAGGUGAGCCCACGAACGACCAAAAGUAUUAAAAGCGGUAAACCUACAGUUUUUGAGGAUGCAAGUCCAACUGUAGCCCUCAACAAAGUGAGCUAUCUACCGACUAUCCUGAACCUGAAAUGGGUGGAAAGGAGGGUGGUGAGACUAUAUAAUCCUAGUGAGUAAACAAAUACCAUCUAAAAUAUCUAAAGCUGAGUAAAUGGAGAUAGAUUAAAAUAGAUUAUCAUACUGUAAUUCAUCACCUUUUAAACUCAUUUCAACCAAAUUAAAUCAGUUCAUAUAAAUCGAGUAUUCAACAUGGCUUAUGAAUUUCUUAAAACUUUGGCUCGUGCCAAAAUCAUUCUCAUACUCAGUUAUCAGGAAUACCUUGGUCGAGGGCUAUCCCAACCGAGUCCACCAAGGCUGUUAAAAAGUUAUGUACACAUAAAUCAUGUUUUUAUUUUGAAAACAUAGUCAUUCCUUGGCAUUGGCUGAGUUCACCCUCACGUGGUGGUUUGGUGUGAAGUGAACUCUAAAGUGUUAACCUCAGGAGCUAUCCAUCCGCGCCUCUCAUACUGAGGUAUGAAUAUAAUAGGGUUACCAUGCCCCCUCUAAUAGGCUGGUCCACGGAACCCGUCCACUGCAGCGACUAAUCAAUCACCCACCAAUGUAAUAAAAUUUAACAGCAUGACAUGAAAAUUUUAUCAUUAUCCAGCCUAUCAAGGCAAACAACAGUUUAUACAUUUUCAACACAAAUACCAAUUCAGCCAUUCAUGCCAAUAUUGCUAUAAGCCAAUAAAUUAGAACCAUAAAUUCACAAUACAUCAAAUGGUCUCCAAUUACUCUAUUUUCAAAGCCAUCAUUCAAUUUCAAGACAAUUUAUAAAAUCAUUUCAUUUAAACACAUUUUGUUUAUAAAACAUAAAGAUUUACCAUUUAAACUCAUUUUUCUAUCAAAUCACAAAAACAAUUAAAAACUAAUUUAGAUAAUUAAGACGAUAGUAAGGUUACUCACUAUAAUGGGAAUCGAAUUCCAAGUACUCCGAUUCUUGAUCUUCGGGUGCUAUCUCUUUACUUUUGUCAGAAUGCUCACCACUUAGACAUAAUGCACAAUAAGCCAUUUACUACAUUUGUGCUAAAUUAUUAUAAAACCAAUUCAGGCUCUAUACUAAUGCAUGAAAUGGGAUGUGAAAUACUCGGGUAACUAUCUAAAUACAAUGUUCAAUAUAAAUUCAAUUAUGUCCCUAAAUAAAACGGUAUUAGCCUAAUUCAAUCUAUCACCCGAUUAAUUGGCCAAUACGUCCAAUUCAACUCCAAAUAAUUCCAUUUUUCUCCCAAUACUCCAAAUCAUCAAACACAAAUUAAAUAACUUGAAAUAUGGUAAAAUCAUCCUCACAUUUUCUCUUGGAAAAUUCGGCCAUGGUGGGUGCACCAACACUAUAAUUUUUAAAGCUUGAUUCUCACACCAUAAAUCACUAAUUCCUAACCAAAUCACUUGAAAUAAAAUCAAAAUCAUCCUCAAUAUUCCACAUGGAGAAUUCGGCCAAUCAUGGGUGAUGGAAGAACAUGAAUUUUUCUUGCUUGAUUUUCAUGCUACAAUCACCAAUCAACUAAAAACACUAAAAUACAUUGAAAUCUAACCAAAUCAAGCAUCAAAACCUCUCUCUAAGUGUUCAGCCAGGAAGAUACCCAUCAUGAAAUCAUGUGAUUCAACCAUGGAAAAUGCAAAAGAAUGUAUGGGAAAGGUAGAUCACAAGUCAAAAUUAAGAAAUUUUACCUUUGAUUGCUUGAUUACUUGCAAUCCACCAAAUUUCUCUUGAAUUUUCACCCUAGGGUUCUUGUUCUUUCUUUUCUUCCUUUGUUCUUGCUUUGGCCGGC
This 1883-nucleotide long non-coding RNA is filed under the name Theobroma cacao (cacao). Its description in RNAcentral is "long non-coding RNA (TCAC_LNC000405)". The record is from RNAcentral. Lineage: Eukaryota; Viridiplantae; Streptophyta; Magnoliopsida; Malvales; Malvaceae.